UAAUAAGUGUUUUAUGGCACUUUUUAAAUCCAUAUCCACCUUGUGUGCAAUGUCAGUCGAUCUUCUUCAUGGAGAUCGACCAAACAUCAACCUUUAUUUUUUAACUCUUUGUCUGAAAAAUAUUAUGAAUAAACAAUUCAAAAUAA
Molecule: unclassified non-coding RNA, 146 nt
Filed under: soil metagenome
Description: partial internal transcribed spacer 1
Source: RNAcentral